GAGUUUGAUCGUGGCUCAGAUUGAACGCUGGAGGCAGGCCUAACACAUGCAAGUCGAGCGGAUGACGGGAGCUUGCUCCUUGAUUCAGCGGCGGACGGGUGAGUAAUGCCUAGGAAUCUGCCUGGUAGUGGGGGACAACGUUUCGAAAGGAACGCUAAUACCGCAUACGUCCUACGGGAGAAAGCAGGGGACCUUCGGGCCUUGCGCUAUCAGAUGAGCCUAGGUCGGAUUAGCUAGUUGGUGGGGUAAUGGCUCACCAAGGCGACGAUCCGUAACUGGUCUGAGAGGAUGAUCAGUCACACUGGAACUGAGACACGGUCCAGACUCCUACGGGAGGCAGCAGUGGGGAAUAUUGGACAAUGGGCGAAAGCCUGAUCCAGCCAUGCCGCGUGUGUGAAGAAGGUCUUCGGAUUGUAAAGCACUUUAAGUUGGGAGGAAGGGCAGUAAGUUAAUACCUUGCUGUUUUGACGCUACCGACAGAAUAAGCACCGGCUAACUCUGUGCCAGCACG
Molecule: ribosomal RNA, 511 nt
Filed under: bacterium enrichment culture clone ALO1_GLFRUDD03FTWIW
Lineage: Bacteria
Description: bacterial SSU rRNA
Rfam family: Bacterial small subunit ribosomal RNA
Source: RNAcentral